This 316-nucleotide long non-coding RNA is filed under the name Nicotiana benthamiana. RNAcentral describes it as "long non-coding RNA (NBEN_LNC037317)". Lineage: Eukaryota; Viridiplantae; Streptophyta; Magnoliopsida; Solanales; Solanaceae. The record is from RNAcentral.
UCGAUUGGAAACAACCUCUCUGCCCUUUCGGGUUGGGGUAAGGCUCGUCUACAUAUUACCCUCCCCAGACCCCACUUUGUGAGACUAUACUGGGUAGUUGUUGUUGUUGUAUUAUCCUCAACGUUUUCUGCUUUUGCCCUCCGUUUUUCCCCUAGAUGAAUUGGCAAAAAUAUGACAAUCCGAGGUCCAAAUUAUAGGUGAUGUUUGUGGCCAAAACUCUAAUUAAAGAAUAGGGUGUCAUCUCCCAAAUGCACAUACAUUAGGGAUAUAAAUCACAAAAACCCUAAUUUUCUCUAUUUAAUGAUCUUGUUUCUCC